AUUGUGACUGAAGUCUUUUUCCAAGGAUCUGUGUGCUACAGACAGAUUUUUUUUUUUUUACCAGAGCAAAUUCAAGUGCAGCUUUAGCCUUUCGUACUCAGUCUCCAUCGACCUGUCAGAGACAUCACAGUGAUUGACUGCCCUGGCAGAUGUGCCGCUAUAACAGCAAGAGUUCUAUCAAGAUCUCUGCAAGCCCAGGGCAUUGAGAAGUUGCUGAAGAACAUUCAUCUCAACUUGAGCCUGAAGAUCUUCUAAGCUGCAAUAGCUUUUGGCAUAGAUAGAGAGGAACCCAGACUACUGGUUCAAAAUCUACCUUUCAGGCAGCUGCAGUAGUUGAAAAGAUUCCCAAGUACAUGGUGAGUUAUUUCCAUUUCUUCACAUGAGACUUGAAUUGACAAAUAAAUCAUACAGAU
Molecule: long non-coding RNA, 413 nt
Filed under: Cyanistes caeruleus (blue tit)
Lineage: Eukaryota; Metazoa; Chordata; Aves; Passeriformes; Paridae
Description: lncRNA (ENSCCEG00000015721.1)
Source: RNAcentral